AUAUAUAUAUAUAUAUAUAUAUAUAUAUAUAUAUAUAUAUAUAUAUAUAUAUCUGUACAUACACACCUCUCUCUCCAGCACCCUGGCUAGCACACUGAGGAAAAGGUUACAGCAGUUACAUCUGCUAUAAAUCUUCAUGCUAGAUGUCCGAUUUCUAGCUUUUAAGUCUUUUUUUUUUUCUCUUCCACCCCCAUACUUAAUGACAUAGAAUGUAAUGAGUAGUGCGUGCAGAAAGCUGGCGUGGUAACUGUGUGUUACAUACCUGUUGAGGGUGUUCUCCUGCAGAUAGAGCGAAAAAGUGACAGAGAGUGAGAGAGAGAAAGAGAUUGUGAGAAAGAAAUGAAGAGAAAGAGCAAAACAAAGUGUUGUAAAGUUUAAAUUUCCUAAUUGGCCCGAUGGUGUAUGUUCUACUGCACGUUUUGAGAUAGAACAUGUAAACCUUUAGUUAUCAAAUAAAAGUAAGUGUGUGUGUGUGUGUGUGUGUGUGUGUGUGUGUGUGUGUGUGUGUGUGUGUGUGUGUGUGUAAAUGUGAGCAUGCAUGUAUACGUGUUUUUGGCCUUUGGGUCUUCCUGUGAGUCACUCCCAUGAGAUAAACCCAGUAAAGCUGUCCUAGUCCUCUCUAAUUCCUCAUUAGCUCACGGCAGGCUGUCUCAGGGGGAUUUGCACUGCCUGUGGUGUGUGUGUAUGCGUUAGUUCAGGCUCACUAGAUCUGAACGUGAAACACUAUGGGGCUUCUUAGUGGGAGGCUGCGGCAGGCCAGGUGUGUGUUCACUGCCAGGUGUGUGUAUAUGCCAGGUUCAGGAGCAGGGGAUAAGUAUGUCAGCACAACAGUGUGUUAAGUAGCAUUCAAUUUGGGAUUAUGCGCAGAAAGGAAGAGACAGUGCGAGAGAGAGAGAGAGAGAGAGAGAGCUCUUUGAAUCAGUGCUUCUUCAGUUUAUCAGUUGAAUUAAUAUACAACCCCAAUACCAAAAAAGUUGGGACGUUGUGUAAAAUGUAAAUAAAAACAGAAUGCAAUGAUUUGCAAAUCUCAUAAACUCACGUUAUUCACAAUAGAACGUCAAAAACAUAUCAAAUGUUUAAUUUGAGUAAAUGUACCAUUUUAAGAUAAAAAAAAAAGUAAUGUUGAAUUUGAUGGUCGCAAAAUGUCUCAAAAAAGUUGGGACGGUGCAACAAAAGGCUGGAAAAGUAAGUGUUACUAAAAAGAAACAGCUGGAGGUUAAUUGGAAAUAGGUCAGUAAGAUGAUUGGGUGUAAAAAGAGUAUCUUUUUAUAGAGGCAGAGUCUUUCAGAAGUAAAGAUGGGCAGAGGUUCAUUAACGAAUGUGAAAAACUGCAUCUACAAAUUGUGGAACAAUUUCAGAAUAAUGUUCCUCAAUGUAAAAUUGAGAAAGACUAUGAAUAUCUCAUCAUCUACAAUACCUAAUAUCGUCAAAAGAUUCAGAGAUUCUUGAGAAAUCUCUGUGCACAAGGGACAAGGGUGAAAAUCAGUAUUGCGUUGCCCGUGAUCUUCGGGCCCUCAGGUGGCACUGGAUUAAAAAACAGGCAUGAUUCUGUAAUGGAAAUCAGUGAAAUCAGUGCAGAAACACCUCCAGAACUCAUUGUCUGUGAACACAGUUCGCCGUGCCAUCCACAAAUGCUGCUUAAAGCUCCAUCAUGCAAAGAAGAAGCCAUAUGUGAACAUGAUCCAGAAAUGCCGCCGUCUUCUCUCGGCCAAAGCUCAUUUAAAAUGGACUGGGGAAAAGUGGAAAACUGUUCUGUGAUCAGACGAAUGGAAGUUUUAAAUACUUUUUGAAAAACCAUAGACACUAAACUAAAGAGGACUAAAGAGGAGAGGGACCAUCCGGCUUCUUAUCAGUGCUCAGUUCAAAAGCCUGCGUCUCUGAUGGUAUGGGAGUGCAUUAGUGCCGAUGGAGUUGGCAGCUUGAAUACUGAGAAAUGCACCAUCAAUUCUGAAAGGUAUAUACAGGUUUUAUAGCAACAUCCAGAUGCUUCCAUCCAGAUUCCAUCCCAUCUUUACUUCUGAAAGACUCUGCCUCUCUAAGAUACUCUUUUUAUACCCAAUCAUGUUACUGACCUGUUGCCAGUUAACGUAAUUGGUCGCAAAAUGUUCCUAAUAAAUAAAUAAAUAAAUAAUAAUGAUGAUGAUAAUGAUGAUGAUUAUAACAUCACACUUUAUAUGACACAGUAAAGAUGUAUAAAUAUAUAAGCAGCAGAAUGGAAAUGGCAUCUUUUAUGGUCUGGAAAUAGAUGGUACAUAUCAACUUUGCAGUAAGAAUAAGGCAUACAGUCUUCGAUCAGACGAGCGCAACACAGUUUCAGCGAUGUGUUAUAACAUUGCCCUCCCGCGACCGUCCCCAUGACUGCUCUGCACCUUGAGGCUUUUUAAAUAGGACAAAGGAGAAGGUGAGAGGAGCCACACUUGUGUAGUCUUGCAGCUGUUUAUUUGAUAUUACCCUGUUUAUCUUGGGUGUUAAACUUUGUCAGAGUUUGCUUUUCCUGUUGGUUCUUAGCACAGGGCACCAGAUCUGCCUCAUCAGUGUGACCUUUGUGUUUGACCUGUCUCACAACCUCCGACCACAAACACACUCCAGCCUGAAAGACAGUGUGAAUGGGAUCCUGUUCAGAUCUGAUCUGUGAUCUCUAAACAGAUUUAAAAAAAAAUAAAAAUCUUUGUUGUGUUAUUGAACUUUCUUUAAAUUUCUGCAUAUAAUUGUGUCACAUUGUAGCGUUGUGACUCAUUUCAAAGGCAGUAAAUAACUAACUUUCUCAACACUGCUCAGUAGCUCCUACCAGUGGAAUGAUCUGAUACUGCAGCUGGAAAGCAGGUCAGCUGUAUUAUUCCACAGGAUGAGGCAUGAGAAUUGAAGAGUUUCAUUUAAUAACAAUUACUGUAGAACCAAUAAUACACGAUUGUUAUAUUAUUUUGUGUAGUCUAGAAUACGUUUAUCAGGACAAACCAUAUCAUGCAAGUCUCUUUAUUUAUCUCUAUAACCAUAAGCCAGCAGAUGAAAGCAUGAGGCACACUUUGGACAUGAGGUAAAUAGGAACAUAACAGGAACAGAUUUUCCCUCAUCAGAUGUACCUAGCCUUUGUUUGGAAAAGUGGGCCCUUGUAUGAAAUUGUAGCGCCCCCCCCCCCCCCCCCUUCUUUUUUCCAGUUGCUGUCUCUCAUCUUUCGUUUGCUUUGUCAGACCUGUGCCAGUGUUUCCUGAUAGUUGAGUAAUUACUUGUAAGAGAUAGCACUCCUACAGUGCUGUACUCCUAAUCGCACCGGCUGGUCUCCACUGCAGAUCAUUCGGAGGAUAAACAUGCUAGUUUAACAGCGCCAUAAACACCACUUUCGUCUGUAUCUAUGUGCGUGUGAUGUCCUGCACUAGCCCCCAUUUGUAUGCACAACAAAUGAGUCCAAGCACAGCCAUGUUCAGCUUUUAAAAGAUGACCAACUGUUACAUAGCAGGCUCACAGCUGAUGAUAGGAUGAUCACUGACAAUUUAGUGUGUUUGUUUCUUCUUCUCAGCAUCUCUCUUUUGCAGGGCAAACGCUGCUAGUGAAAUACGUUUGGCAUGCCACAAGUGUUUUGCGCUUCAAGCUACAGUUGCACACACAACUGAAACGUAUAUUGCUUUGAAAGCCUGACAUACAUUUCUGACAGUAAUUGACUGGAAUGUUCAUGUCACACCAGUGCACCCACAGAGACAGUUACUCGUUCCCUGUUACUUGUCUAACAUCCUCUCAUCUCACACAGGCUCCUCAUUGUAAUCCCCAAAACACACACACACACACACACACACACAAUUACACACACACUCCCAACAGUUAGCUAGCCCACUUUUGAACAGACAACCCCCCUCUCCCGGUUGCUUAUGAAGUCUGAAUCAGGGUUCAGUGUCUCAUCCACCAGCGGGGAUCUAAAUAUUCCAUUACAGUAUGUGUUUUCAUGCAAUUGUCCAAAAACAGGACGAAGAGCCGUAAACGAUAUACCAGUAGAGGCAUCAUAUAAUGUAGCAGACCUCCAUACAGUUCUCUGUCUCCUUCUCACUUACAUGUGUUCUCUCUCUCUCUCUCUCUCUCUCUCUCUCUCUCUCUCUCUCUCGCUCUCUCUCACACCUCACUUACAGACAAUAAUCUCUCAGGACAUCCCUUGAUAUCCCAUAAGAACCCCACCCAGGAGGAAGAGUAACCCGAGAGCCCGUUUCUCAGGCUGUGUGUAUGUGUCUUCAGUGAAACUGUAGUAAUGUGAGACUGGCAAGUGAGGAAGCAGCACUGUAAACAGUACACAGUCAUUAACAGUGUGAAACCAGACACUGACAGUGGACAUGCUCUCAUCUGCAUCCUCCCUAUCAGUGGCAGCUGUGGGCUUGUUUGUAUACAGAUGCGGCGAGCAGCAAUGUUAAUUACCCUGCAGCUGCACUCCAGGCCUUGGACUGCAGUUUCUCACUGCGCUGUCUUUGUGCCUGGGCGCGGAGCGAGGAAUGUGGGAACGUGUGGUAAUUAAAGUGUUCUGUAACCCAAUUAAGCGUACUGCCCUGCAGCAGCAGCAGCACAGAACCCAGUGAUCAAGCUGUCUGAAAGCCAGUCGCCACUUGUAGCCAUAGCUCUUCAUCCAAAACCAGCAGGUUUUAAAGACUGGUUCAGAAAAAGAUGGUGAGCCAGAGUGGCAAGGAACUCAUCUGACAGCCAAGUCUACAGAGGCAUAUGAUGAUAUGAUGAUAUGUACGCAUAUGUCAACAGAAGAUGAAUAUGUGACAAUGACAUCAGUCACAGCUGUCUAUCACCCUGUCACCACGGAGACAAGCAGUCAAAUGG
Molecule: long non-coding RNA, 4803 nt
Organism: Ictalurus punctatus (channel catfish)
Lineage: Eukaryota; Metazoa; Chordata; Actinopteri; Siluriformes; Ictaluridae
Source: Ensembl